Molecule: ribosomal RNA, 422 nt
Filed under: uncultured Anaerotruncus sp.
Lineage: Bacteria; Bacillati; Bacillota; Clostridia; Eubacteriales; Oscillospiraceae
Description: bacterial SSU rRNA
Rfam family: Bacterial small subunit ribosomal RNA
Source: RNAcentral
UCGGGAAUAUUGCGCAAUGGAGGAAACUCUGACGCAGUGACGCCGCGUAUAGGAAGAAGGUUUUCGGAUUGUAAACUAUUGUCGUUAGGGAAGAUACAAGACAGUACCUAAGGAGGAAGCUCCGGCUAACUACGUGCCAGCAGCCGCGGUAAUACGUAGGUGGCAAGCGUUGUCCGGAAUUACUGGGUGUAAAGGGAGAGUAGGCGGGAUUGCAAGUCCGUUGUUAAAUCUAUCGGCUUAACCGGUAGCUGCGGCGGAAACUGUAGUUCUUGAGUGAAGUAGAGGCAGGCGGAAUUCCUAGUGUAGCGGUGAAAUGCGUAGAUAUUAGGAGGAACACCAGUGGCGAAGGCGGCCUGCUGGGCUUUAACUGACGCUGAGGCUCGAAAGUGUGGGGAGCAAACAGGAUUAGAUACCCUGGUAGU